This 457-nucleotide ribosomal RNA is filed under the name uncultured bacterium. RNAcentral describes it as "bacterial SSU rRNA". It matches the Rfam family "Bacterial small subunit ribosomal RNA", at positions 41 to 518 of the family's 1533-position model. The record is from RNAcentral.
GGUGCGCCUAACACAUGCAAGUCGUACGGGCGUCCUUCGGGAGCUAGUGGCGAGACGGGUGAGUAACGCGUAGGUAAUGUACCUCUUCGCUGGGGAGUACCUAACCUGAAAAGGUAGGCUAAAACCGAAUGAGCUUUUUCAAGCGGCAUCGCUUGAUUUGCAAACCUCCGGGGCGAGGAGAUCAGCUUGCGUACUAUCAGCUAGUAGGUGAGGUAAUGGCUUACCUAGGCUUCGACGGUUAGCCGGUCUGAGAGGAUGAUCGGCCACAUUGGAACUGAAACACGGUCCAGACUCCUACGGGAGGCAGCAGUGAGGAAUCUUGCGCAAUGGGCGAAAGCCUGACGCAGCGACACCGCGUGAGGGAUGAAGGUCUUCGGAUUGUAAACCUUUGUCAGUGGGGACGAGAACGGACGGUACCCGCUGAGGAAGCAUCGGCUUACUACGUGCCAGCCGCUGC